GCCACACUGAGAUGCAACAUUGACGAUAAGGAGGACUUUCCCCUUGAAGGUGCUCAGGUCCACAUCUUUGCCACUUGCAUCCUUGACGGUGAAGUCGUGGACGGAUGCGGCGGAGGAGGCGGCGGUGGCCAUGCUGAACAGCGCGAACCCGGCGGCGACCGGACGGACCAGCGGCGAGACGGCUGCGGAGACGCGCGGCGGGUGAGGCGCACCGACAGGGAUAGCGCGGAGGAUGCGGGGGCUGUGCCGCGGCGGCGCGGAGGACGAGAACGGGGAGAGGGCGGCGGCGGUUCGGAGGAGCCGGAGGCGAGAGAUGAACGGG
Molecule: unclassified non-coding RNA, 322 nt
Filed under: Hevea brasiliensis (rubber tree)
Lineage: Eukaryota; Viridiplantae; Streptophyta; Magnoliopsida; Malpighiales; Euphorbiaceae
Source: RNAcentral